This 301-nucleotide ribosomal RNA is filed under the name uncultured bacterium. RNAcentral's name for it is "partial 16S ribosomal RNA". It matches the Rfam family "Bacterial small subunit ribosomal RNA", at positions 509 to 807 of the family's 1533-position model. The record is from RNAcentral.
CAGCAGCCACGGGAAUACAGAGGGUGCGAGCGUUAAUCGGAUUUACUGGGCGUAAAGCGUGCGUAGGCGGCUUUUUAAGUCGGAUGUGAAAUCCCUGAGCUUAACUUAGGAAUUGCAUUCGAUACUGGGAAGCUAGAGUAUGGGAGAGGAUGGUAGAAUUCCAGGUGUAGCGGUGAAAUGCGUAGAGAUCUGGAGGAAUACCGAUGGCGAAGGCAGCCAUCUGGCCUAAUACUGACGCUGAGGUACGAAAGCAUGGGGAGCAAACAGGAUUAGAUACCCGGGUAGUCCCUGUCUCUUAUAC